Engraulis encrasicolus (European anchovy) is the source of this 1401-nucleotide long non-coding RNA. RefSeq lists it as uncharacterized. The record is from RefSeq and is a predicted model, not a curated record. NCBI's taxonomy places the organism in Eukaryota, Metazoa, Chordata, Actinopteri, Clupeiformes, Engraulidae. The transcript has 7 exons.
GCGUCGAUAUAACGACGCAUUCUCUUUAAUGUCACACAUGCGCACUAGCCAGCACUAUCUUUUAAGGCCAGGAGGCUUUAUUGUUAGCCUAUUUAUAACAAAAACAAAACGUUAUUCACGUUGCUUAACGUAACGACUCAUUAUAAAUAUGCUGUUAAGUCCCCACAAACUAAUACUGAGCUCUUUUGGGCUGUUAAAGUCAAGUUUUGAUUUUAGCAAGUCUUUUUCUGUUUGAUUGAAUUAAAACGAACCCUGUAAACAUUGACAUAAAUCUGUCCAGAGCGUGAUUUGCGCACAACAACUAGGCCUACAACGUUUUGAAUAGUUUCAAAUAUUUCAUUCAUAAAUCCCCAGACCCCCUCCCCCUACUACACCAAUGAUGUCAUUUUAUUGCGACCACUCUCUGGAUUGUGGAUUUUACGGACUGCAUUCCCAUGUACUGGGUUUAGCUGGACCGUAUUGGACUGGAGGUGACAGGAUAUUUUGUACCUGCUUCGGACUGGUUCUGUCAUUAACCUACUGAGCUGGUGCUUCUGUCCCAGGUAAAAUGUGUUUGAACUUACAUUUGCAUCUAUACAUGAAGUAGGCAGCCUAGAGCAGGAGGCGGGCGUCAGAUCAGAGGGUUGCAGGCAUCUCCAUCGCAUCGCUCCUAGGCAUCUGAAAGUGUACCGUUGCGCACAGAUCAUGCUGGUAACGAGUUAUUCAAAGGGUCUACCAAUCAUGGCAAAAACAGAAAUCCAGCUCCUCAGCCCAGGCAGUGCCAACAACCCAGCUGAUCCAGGAGCUGCAGCGAGGGGUAGUGAUGACACUUCGGGCACCCCGACUGCCCUCUUCAACCAUUCCCAUGGAAUUCAUCCUGUCCAGCCUCCGUCAGAUAAUCCAGCCCUCCCCCUCCUACUUCCAGAGACUAAUUUGCAGGUUCUAAUGGGUAUGUGCUAAGGAGAUGAUGAGUGAACACGCUGCCAGUUUGGUUGCAGUGUGUCAACGAAUUCCAUAGAUUCAUCAUCACUAUGUGGGGUGGAAGCUGCACAGACUACAACAAGGCUUCUGGGACCCCACUCCCCUCAAGCAAGACAUUUACCACCUGCUUCACCUAUGAAGGACUGAUUAUUGGCAGUGAUACCACAACGCAUACAAGCUGUUCAGCCUGCUGCCCUCCGGGUAGAGGUACAGGAGUAUCUGCUUCCGCAACUCCAGACUCGCCAACAUCUUCAUCUACCAGACUGUCAUGCCGAAUUGUCCCUCCUCUCUCCCAUCCAAGGAUGCCGAAUUAUGACCAAGUGACUGAAGAACUGCCAUACGUCUUCACUUGGUCAUGGCAUGACCAGAGGCUGCAUGCAGACUCACAGUAUAAUUCUACACGAUCCACUAUAAGUAAUAUUUUAUUUCAGGUGGUUUGAA